GCAUAUCCUUGAAUUUUUCUCUAAACCCGCCCUUUUUUAGUUCUAAAUUGCUGUAAAGUGUAAACCCUUUUUCUUCCUUGUGAACGGUUUCCCACUGGUAGAGCAGAGGUUAUUUGGCUGCUCCACUGCGUCUUCUCCGUUCUUCACUCUCCUCUAAGGCCAGCGAAUUCAAGCUCGAACAAUCGAACUCAAGCUCCAGUGAAUUCAAGCUCCAAUUUUCCUCCUUUGUUUCGAAUUUCAGAUUUAGGGUCUUGAAUUCAAGCUCCAAUUUCCUCCUUUGUUUCGAAUUUCAGUUCUUUUUUCCUCUUGUUUUAUGGACUAAUGCUAAUAUGAUGAGCUUGUCGAAGUAUGGAAAAGUUCUGGAGGUGCACUACUAAGGUUUCACUGAACCUCAUCAUAUAUGGCCUUGUCUCACUGACGAUCAAUGGAUGAAGGAUGGCUUAGCGGCAAAGCCUAAGUUUGAAAAAGAAAUGUAAGGAGUGGACCUCUAGCCAUCCACUACUGCACCAAUGAUUGGGUUGAUGUUAGGGGGAAGGGGACCGUAACUAUCAAGAAAGUGAGUAGGGUCGAGUCCAAUCCAUUGGAUACUCUUCAUCCCCGAGCAUAACAACUACUAGGGAUUGAACCAUGGUGGUGACCAUAGUCAUGUAAGCCUAAGAUUUGAGCUGUCAGCUCAUUGGCACCAAUAAAUGCAAAGUGGUAUUUGUCUUAGAGUAACCAUUUUAGAGGACUGCACUUAAAGUCUUAACCAUUGUAGGCAAUUUUGGUCCAUAUCUGAUCUUUUUGUUUUCAGUAAUUUCAAAUGUUUGAUUGAAGUGAAACAUGUUGCUAAACUUCUACUUUCUUUACUCUAACUUGUUACAGUUUAUAUUUUAUUUAACCUAUCUUCAUGCUUAAAUCUUGAUGUUAAUCUUUAUCUACUUUGUGUAACUCAUUAAACGAGGCAGAAGACUAGGAUCAGAAUAUCAGAUAGAAGUUGUCUAAAUUAGAUGGUCACUUUUGAGCUUUAACCUCCUAUUUCAUCUAUGAUCCUUGCAUAUGUGUAGAUUACAUUAUUUGUUGUCUAUUUGGAGAAUUUCUUCAAUUUAUAGAGAUAAUUGUGGAGUAAAAUGGCUCUCACUCAUAAGUCAUAAUAUUGUUUAGUGCUCACAAGGAUGAAAAUAUUCACUCUCUCUUAUAUGAACCAUCAAAGAGAUUAAUAAAGAGGGAAGGCUGAUGGUUUAUGUAAAAAUCUCAGUGAUCGAUUUUUUCGAAUUUCCCUGUAGUUAUCAUAUUUCUUCUUCGUAGUCCCAACGAAAUCUAAAUUCAUUUAUACCUUUCAGAUUUCCAUUAAUUUUGUUACUAUACACUUUGGGUUAAUUGAUUACUUGUACUGUUUCUAGGAGUAAUAUGCUUGAAACUACCUUUUAUGAUGCCAGUUUGCCCAAAGCUUUCUUGUAUAUUCAUAUUUAUUCAAGUACCAAUAUGUUAAUUCUCUUAAUAAUCUACCAUCCAUGUUUGCAAUUUUGUAAUAAUACUCUGAAUGACUUAAGCUGGUGGUAAGAUUUUGACUUAAGUAAAGAGAACUUUCUGUCAUUAAAGUUUUGGUGGGUUUUUUUAAAAACAUUUUGAUACAUGAUUGGCUAAAUGAAAUAUCAAAAACGAGGGAUGCUGUUGUGCAGACUAAUGUCAAUAUGGGCAGUUUUUGGCAAAAACUCAAUAAAUGUUUUUAUGGCUUACUGGUCAUUGUGUUCUUAUCUGAGUAAAUUGCUUCUUGGAUUUCUUAUCGUGCUGUUUAUCGUUUUCUUUCAAGGAAUCUCGGGGACAAUCAAUUUACUGGCAAAGUUAGUUCCUGAUGAGCUUGGGAACUUAAUGAACUUUAAGAUGUUGUAAGUACAUCAUUUCUAUAGCAGAGAUAUUUUCUUCUUCUUUUUGUAGACUUUUUAUUUUUAACCAAUAAAUAUUCUUGAUACAUCUGUUUAGAAUUUAGAUCAUAUACUUUCUCUCUUUUGGUAUGCAUUUUAGAGUGUAGUCAUCAAACCAUUUAAGUGGAACACUGCCUCAAACACUUGUGCGUCCGAAGAAUUUGACGGAUUUGUAAAUUUGCAACAAUUGUAAACCAUCUCCUAAGUACAACAUUUUCUACCUCAUUUAGAUGUCCUAUUUACUUCUAAUGCAGUCGGAUUAAUGAUAAUAACUUCGAUGGAGUUAUACCAGAUUAUAUAAAAGAUUGGGAGCAGCUCAACAGAUUUCACGUAAUCCCAUGCUAUACCUAAAUUUGUUUCCAUGAGAAGAUUAAAAGGAAUUCAGAAAUCAGAUGGAAUCAAUUAUCAAAUAGAGUGCCCUCACAAACCGCUUGGUACUCUAGACUGUGGAUAUUAUGUGUGUCGCUACAUGUUUGAGACGGUACAAUUGAGACGACUAGUACAUAUGUCGGAGAUCAACACGAAGCACAAAUGAUGAAUGAGUUCCAACUUUCUACCUAAUUUUUUUUUAUCUUAAUCCAUGUUUGGACAUACAUUAUAUUUUUGGAUUUGGAUAUUGAUAUCAUGUGGAUGUGGCUAUAGGCUAGAUUUGAUCUUGUUUAUGAUUUAGAUUAAUAUUGAUAUGUAUAUAUAGUAGUUUUUUUAGAAGUUUAGAAUUAUGAAUAUUAGUUGAAUUAUUUUGUAAUAUAAAAAAAUUUUGAAGGUUGGAAUAUCAUAUUUAAUUUAUUGGUUGUAA
Molecule: RNA transcript, 2700 nt
Organism: Beta vulgaris subsp. vulgaris (sugar beet)
Lineage: Eukaryota; Viridiplantae; Streptophyta; Magnoliopsida; Caryophyllales; Amaranthaceae
Exons: 7
Source: RefSeq, a predicted model, not a curated record